RNAcentral lists this long non-coding RNA (660 nucleotides) under Trifolium pratense (red clover). RNAcentral's name for it is "long non-coding RNA (TPRA_LNC003209)". The record is from RNAcentral. Lineage: Eukaryota; Viridiplantae; Streptophyta; Magnoliopsida; Fabales; Fabaceae.
CCGCUGUGGGUUUGCUUUUCGGUUUUCCUCUAUAUAAGCUGACUUACCUCUUUGUUGUUUCACUUGUUUCGUUCUUCCUGAGCUUGUUUGGAUUUUUUUUCUUUUGCAGGGUUUGAUUUUGAUUCUCUGUUUCAUUUCAAGGUUUGAACUUGUUUCUUGUUUUAUUUGUUAUUCUAUUGUGUAUAUUGUUUCUUUUUCUUCUAACAAUGGAGUUAUUUUGGGAACUGUAUAAAGGUAUGUAUGCAUUUUCAUUGAUUUAAAUCAAAAUUUGAUUCAACCCUUUGUUUAGUUACAUGUUGUAUUGUAUUUUAUAUUUGUGAACUCAAGGUGUUUGUGUUUUUGUCACAGUACAUGACUUGGAAGAGUUAUCGCAAGUGAGUCUUUAGUUUUAUAUAUUUAAUUUAUGUGUUUUUACUUUUGUGUUAUAUUAUUGUUUUGAUUGUUGUUUUCAAAUUUUUAGGUUUAUACUCUAUAGAGUUNNNNNNNNNNNNNNNGUAUUAUGAUGAUUAGUUUUAGCUUGAUGCAUAUUCACAUGCCUCUUGUGACCUUAAAUCUGGUUCCAAAAGAGGAUUAUUUUUUUAGGUUACCAAGCUCUGGUCUUGUUUAUUUCAAAGUUAGAAUUAUGAUUUCUGGAGACGAGAUAUUGAACAACGAACGAGC